Molecule: long non-coding RNA, 2483 nt
Organism: Triticum aestivum (bread wheat)
Lineage: Eukaryota; Viridiplantae; Streptophyta; Magnoliopsida; Poales; Poaceae
Exons: 2
Source: RefSeq, a predicted model, not a curated record
UCCCAACUGAACAUCUGACCCGAAGCCAAACCCUGUCGUCCCUAACCAUUCCCCCUGAUCUGAUCCCGCGCCGCCGCGGCCUUCCCCUCCACCAGCGUGCCGCCGCGGCCUCCCCCUUCACCAGGGCGCCGCCCCGGCCUCCCCCUCCACCGUCGCGGCCGCCCCUGCCACCUCCCGCCGUGGCCGCCGCCCCAGCUCCAGCCGCGACCGCCGCCCCCACGUCCACCCGGGCCACUGCCCUACGCGCCAACGACCCCUCCCCCCGCCGCCGCGCCACGGGUCCACUUCGCCACGAGCUCCAGCGUCGACCAUCCCGCCGCAGCUCGUGAUCCUCUCUUCCAUCAGCUCCACUUCACUGGAACCGUAAGUCCACAGGAGUAUGCGUAGCAGGUUCACCAGAUCCUCCUAACAUCUUCUUCCUUCUCCAAAAAUAUUUUCUUUUAUGUUCAAUUCUUCGUCAUAUGUUCAUUUCCUAUUACCUGAGUGCCUUUCGCUUGAAUUCUUGCUGAUGCUGGCUGUAGCUUGAAACGGCUUCUCCUGCGUGCCUACGUGUGUGAUUUUCUUCAGUCCAAAAGGGAGAAAUAUUGUCAGUUCAUGAAUAAAGAAUUUUUGUACUAAACUUAACAUUAGUUUGGUGUGCACUCGGUUGUCAGUCCUUGAAAAAGCGCAGAAUAGUUGGUGCCUGUGAAAAAAUAUCGUCAGUACAAGUUUCAAUUUCUGUAAGUUUAGAUAUAUCACCUGAAUAAGUAAUGAUUUGCGGCGAGUUUCUUUGAUGUCAAUUCUGAUCCAAGAGCUGGUAGUGCCUCGUCUCUUCACCACAUAGAUUGCAGCUUUCUAUAGGCGGAGUCCAAUUGUGCAGCCGGCAAAUGCUCUGUGCAUUACGCUCUAGUAUUUUACCCACUUGAAUUAUAGUCCCUAGAGUCCUUAUGUGAUCACCAGACUAGCACAUUAUACAGGGCACUGCGUAUUCACUGCUUUUUCUCUUUUCAGCAUUGUACUCCUUGCAUUUUAAUUGGCACAUCAUUUUCCAUAUCUAGGAUGAUACAUCAACUUAGUGGUUAUGCAUACACCCACUAUCGGCAAACUUGUGAAUCGACCACCCGGGCCAUACGUUGAAAUCAGUGUUUAUUUGUAAUAAUUAGUUUAUGUCCAUUCAGAUUUUGUAGUCAACAUUAUGAAUUUCUAAAGCAUGAAAAUGCAUCACCCCCUGAGUAAUUAAUUUAAGUAAACUGGAGAGUCCAUUGAGUGGUUUUUAAUUUUGGCAAACACGAUGCCCCUGCAAUUGUUUGACCAUAUUCAGGUUCUUCUCUCCAUUAUGGCCCCCUCUUCAUAUCAGCAAGCAUCUCCUCUUGCAGCAGGCAUCUCCUUGCCCACCACAUUGGCUGGAGCAUGCCUGUUCUUAACUUUGUUUGAUUUUGUCAUGAUUUAUAUAAAAGCCAGUAGCUGUGCUAGUACUUAACUACUUAUGUUACAACAGGCCAUUGACAAAAAAGCUACAAAAAUCACUUUUUCUUAUUGCAAAAAUUUGUGAAUUUGCUCAGUUCAACAUGUACUGUAUCAUCAAACAACUCAUAUGCAUUUUGAUAUGCAUAAACCUAUACAAUUUCGUGUGUCAGUUCAGCUAAGAUCAACCUAUAUGCAAAAUUUUCAGUAAAUGUUUAGCAGGAUCUCUAUGCUAUUGGUUUCUUCAGUUUACUUGCAAGUUCUAGUAAAAAAAGUUGCAUACACAUCCUAGCCACUGCUCACCUCUGCCGCGCCCACCUGUAUUCCUCCGGCGGAGCAGAUGGCGCGGAUCAGGAGGUGUGUGAGAAAUGGUGGCGCUGGCGUGGUGGGGCCGCGAGGCUCGCCGUGGUGGAGCUCAUCCGCCUCUAGCUGUCGAUGGCAGUUGUGGGAAGCCCUGGUCGCCGUCGGGUGGCACCGUCUGCACGGCCUCUAGCAGUUCGACAAGUGCGCCUCCCUUAGUUCUAGGAUGACGAGCUAGGCAGCCGCCCUCUUUGUGACCUGCUAAUUUCCCCCUUGCACUAGCGGCCUGAUGAUGCGGGAGCCGCCCUCUUCACUCCAGCGGGCUUCUCGUACCGCCUAUGCUGCUAGUAAUGUUGCAGUGACAGAGAACUUGGUGCUGAGGAAUGGAGCGCAAGUACGGAUGGUGCUUCCGUAAUCUUAGGCGAGCUUGCGAAUCUGUAGCACCCUGGUGAUUUUAGUUGUGCUAUUAGUCAUGGAGUGAACAUGGACAGAUGAAUGUGUUGCUAAACAGGGCUUCUGAAUUUGCAUUAUCACCAUGCUUUUUCCAUUCGUAUUCAGGUUGCAAAAAUGUUCUUGUAUGAGUACAAGCUAGUCGAUCGAUCUAUCCAGUGGAUUCAGUCCAGAUGCUAGCUUAUUCUUGGGAAGUCUUGAUUUGGAGAAAAAAUCAUGUUGACUAGCUGUUCUUAUGCCUCAAAGCAGAGACUUUAUUUUACAUUUUGAUAUCUAAUGUUGGUUUAUAA